CAAGCCCCGAGGCAAGCCCAUGGGUCUGCGGGCAGCGGCGGAGGCGGCAGCAUCUCUGGAAGGCAAGGGCGGUCAGCGCAGCAGCCUCAUCUCAUCCCUCUCGGCGCCAAAGGGAAAAGCCCCGAGCGGCCAAAGUAUCCCUUUUGAGAUGUGACCAUAGAAGGAUCUGCAUUGGAGCUCCUUUCUUUUUUGAGGUUUUCAUCUGAAAUGCAGCCCCGCAAACUAAUUAGGUGGACCUCUACCAAAUUAGUUUGCCAAUGGACCUCUAGUGAUGGUGUACACAUUCUGAGCAUGCUCAUUGAGCAAGGGAUGAUCUCAGAUACUAGAGAAAGGUGACAUAACUGGAGUUGUAAUGAUGAAACCCACUGGUUUGUGUGGGAUGAUUUGCUGGACCUACGUGAGCUUUUACCAAUGCCUGUUCAAAAUAUUUUACAGAUUUUACUUCUAGUACUUCUUGCAUGUUACCCUAGUAAUUAAAAUUUACUGUAACCAUAUAAUGUUUGCAGAAGUCAAAGGCUUUUUUUUCUUCAAAAGGAAUGUUCAGGAAAGCCAAAACCAGGACAUUUUUGUGGGAUUUCUGCUAGAAUGUUUCUGUAAUGAAAAUGAAACCUCUGUUAUGAAGCUUUUCCCUGAAAAAUACUCUAGAGGGAGUCAAAUCUAAGAAAGUUUAUUUAUGUUUUAUGCAUUUCAACCAUGUGCCUUUCCAAAAACAUUCUGUGUGCUUCCUGUUUAUCUAGUUUAUCCCUGCCUAUUAAUAAGUAGCCUUUGUUUGUACAUAUUUGUACUUGUUCAGAUUGGACAAAUACUAAUGGCACUCAGAAAGUCAUUAUUUAAAGUUGCUUGUCUCUGUCAUGAGAUUAAAUAGUAUAAAAAUAAGGUUUGGCUUUAUAUUUUAACUAACUAAACAUAAUUUUUGUCAACUGAAAAGUUAGAAUGAAGAACGUGUAUAAACUAAAUAAACAGAGGGACAUACUGUUUUCAAGCUGGGUCAUUCCCCUGGGUAUUUUGUAUAAUUUUAGGAUGUUAUGAAAAUAAAUGUUUAGAUUUUGAAGGUGUUUGGAAAGGGACUUUAGAUCAACUUUUUUCUUCUAUUUAUAGAAAUAAUACUUAUUUUUUUCUUUGCUGUCCAACCUAGUUGAUGCAGUAGGAAAUGUGUGAUCUAUCUUAUAUCUUAGACAAAGGCAGCUAACAGUUGUUAGGACAGUGUGUAGAAGGAAGCAACAGUAAAUCAUUUUGAAUGUAUUUUACUUUGAAAACCCUAUGAUAACACUCACUGAGUAUUGUUUUGAUUGAGUUUUAACACUGUUGUUUUAUAUUCUUGUUUUAUUGAAUUGUGCUUUUAUCUGGAUUGUUAUAUUUAACUAUGUUUUAUCUAAAUUGUGUUUUUGCUUUGAUGGAUUGUUUUGUAUUUGUGUCUAUGGGCAUUUUGUCCCAUAUUAAGUCGCUCUGAGUAUGGGAUUUCCAGGUCAGAAGGCACUUAACCAGUUACUGGGGAUGACACAAUGAAAUGAAAGCCCCAAAAUGUACAAAGCAUAACAUAAAAACACAGAAUGCAGAAAUCAUGAAUUAGAGAAAUCUGGACAUUGUAACUCAAGAACUGGAGCAUCAAAACUUUGCUAUACUUGGAGUGAAACAGCUAAUGGGAUAAUUUCAGUCAGAUCCUUACAGUAUGUUUUACUAUGGAAAUGGUAAUCUAUGAAGAAAUGGGGUAGCAUGAAUAAUGGGGUGGCAUGAAGAGUGGGGUAAGAAGUAGCAAAAACAGUCAGGGGAUAUAAGGUGAAGUCUGAGAAAAAUUAAUGAGAUUUCAUGGAAUCCCUGGCUGGCAUCCUUUCAGUAUUUAUAAUGUCAUAAACCAGAUUUAUGUCACUCUUCAUUUUGGAGUUCACAUUAAUGGUUAUUGUACUAUUGCAACAAGUGGAUGUCCUCCUGAAACCUAUUGUUUUCUGCCCACCAAAACUAUGUGAGGUCCUAUUGCAGCUGUCUGUUGAAAAGUACCUCACUACAAGAAGAGGACUGAAAGCAUCAAAUCACACUGUCCUGCUCUCCAGGUUUUUUGGCAAUUUAUUCAUUAUGGUAGCUAUAUCUCCCAAUGCAGAAUUGUGGCACUUAUCAAUAUAACAUUUGGCCCAAUGCUACUGGCCCUGUUGUAACGGACACAGAGUGUUUUACUGUUUUAAUUGGGUAUGAUAUUGGUUUUUAAGUGUGUUUUACGAUUGUUGGUUUUUACUAUAUUUUGUCUUACAUGUGGCAGUAAUCUUGCAAUUAUAUAAGACCGCUCUGGGUCCCCCUGGGGGAAAAGAGCGGUAUAUAAAUUAAAUAAAUAAAUAAAUAAAUAAAACCAAUAUAGUGAAAUCCAAGUUUCUGCUUUCACCACAGAGACAGUAAAGAAAGAAGUGAGUGACUUGGAAAAAAAACCCUGAAACAAACCAAAACAGGCUAUGUUGAUAAUUAUAAGUAAUAGGUAUUCAAAAGUAGGAAAAAGGACAGAAGCAGAAAAUGUCUGAGUUUGGUCUAAGAUCAAGAACUGAAGCAGGAGAACAACAUAUCAAAAUUUCUGAGAGCACAAAAUUGCAAACUCACUCUUCAAGCAACUGAACAGAUGACUGUAUGUAUGGACA
Molecule: long non-coding RNA, 2618 nt
Organism: Anolis carolinensis (green anole)
Lineage: Eukaryota; Metazoa; Chordata; Lepidosauria; Squamata; Anolidae
Exons: 3
Source: RefSeq, a predicted model, not a curated record